RNAcentral lists this ribosomal RNA (333 nucleotides) under Clostridioides difficile. RNAcentral's name for it is "partial 23S ribosomal RNA". It matches the Rfam family "Bacterial large subunit ribosomal RNA", at positions 2593 to 2925 of the family's 2925-position model. The record is from RNAcentral. Lineage: Bacteria; Bacillati; Bacillota; Clostridia; Peptostreptococcales; Peptostreptococcaceae. RNAcentral also lists the same sequence under 1 other name.
GCGGUACGCGAGCUGGGUUCAGAACGUCGUGAGACAGUUCGGUCCCUAUCCGUCGUGGGCGUAGGAAAUUUGAGAGGAGCUGUCCUUAGUACGAGAGGACCGGGAUGGACGCACCGCUGGUGUACCAGUUGUUCUGCCAAGGGCAUAGCUGGGUAGCUAUGUGCGGAAGGGAUAAGUGCUGAAAGCAUCUAAGCAUGAAGCCCCCCUCAAGAUGAGAUUUCCCAUAGCGUAAGCUAGUAAGAUCCCUGAAAGAUGAUCAGGUUGAUAGGUUCGAGGUGGAAGCAUGGUGACAUGUGGAGCUGACGAAUACUAAUAGAUCGAGGACUUAACCAU